GGCUGUGGGUCCAGCCUGGCCUUGAACUCACAGCGAUCCUCCUGCCUCUGCCUCCCGAGUGCUGGGAUUAAAGGCAUGCGCCACCACUGCCCAGCUAUGCAUAAUCUUUUUUAAAAUCCCACAUGAAUACAGUUUAAUUUAUCUGAGGCUUCUUUUAUCUUUUACAUAUCAACAUUUAACUUCCAAAAAAUAUAAAAUUCCUAAAUUAUUUUUAAAUCUUCAUCUUUAACAGUCUUACUUGAUUUAAAAUCAUGAGAAUCACAACACAAAACUGUAUACUAACCUAGUUAGCAUCAAUCCAAUGAAGCAAUUCAUUAGAGUAUACAGAAAGGCUAAUUCCAGUGAACUACUCACUGGAGCCUUUAAAUAUGUACAUUGUACAAAGACUUUAUUUGAAUUCCUUAAUCUCUGUCAAAGUCUGCCUAUCUACACUAGAUGUUUGGAAAAUACUCAUUUGAAUAUUUCCAAAGAGGCAAGGCUUUGAGCAUGUGACUGACUAGCUAGCUAUAUUAAGCAGCACGCAGUGAAUGGAAAGAAAAUCCCUUUCAGAAUCGUUCUCCAGGACACUAGAGAAGGGCUGAAUUUAAAAAAAUCUUCAAAAAUACUCCACCAAAUCAAAAGCAAAGGAAGAUGAUGAUCAAGCAUUUAUUCACCAUCAGCCUGCUCCUCAUGUAUGCUCAUAUUAUGGAAAUAACAACAUCAAGUUCUACAGAAAACUCAAGUCUGACGACCUUAGUUUCCACCAUGAGUUCACAGGCCACAACAAGCCUAAGUACUGCAACUACAACACAGCUUGGAAGCAGCCCCAAACCUGUGAUAAAGCCUACAGCGCAGAUCUCCAAGACCACCUGGCAAGGAAACAUGUCUUCAAGCUCCUAUAUAAAUACUGCAAAGACUGUAGCAGGUGGUGGCACAGCACUCAAGCCAAUAUCCAGCAUUUACUCUCUUUGUUUGUGGAGUGUUCUUACUCUUUUGUGCAUACUCAAGCAGAAGUGAGCGCAAUACCUGCUCACUUCAGUCCCUCAUAAUGAUAAGCACACUAAAAAAAUACAAUUUAUUGUAAUUUACUAAAGAAAUUAUCAUUAUUCUAGUGUGAUCUGGGUUUCAGUAAGUUUUAAUUGUAUAAAUUUAAACACUACAUUAAUAUUAUAGUUUCCUUUCUAUAAGUGUAGUGCCCUAUUAAAUGCCAAAAUAAGCAAAACAUUACAUUUGUGUUUUAAAUGUGGGAAAAAUCAGAACUCAAAUGUUUAUAUUAAAGGUACAAGAAGAAAUAACAUAAGGAGGCAAUUAACCAAAGGGGGAAGGAGAUAGUACGACAUAAAGAGUGGUAUGGGAGAAGCUGUUUUGAAUUUUAUUAUUUUUAAUUAAAUAGAUUGAAAAUACUGGUAUGGUUUAAAGAACAGUUUUUUAUAAAACAUACUCAUCAGUGGAAUGUUAUUUUCAUGGGAGUGUGAUAGCAAUAGGUCAUCCCAGUACAGUUUAAAAGCAGAAUACUGCUGAUCCAAUGAUAAGAGUACAUUUUGAAUAAAUCUUGAUUUGUGUUUCAAAA
Molecule: long non-coding RNA, 1549 nt
Organism: Mesocricetus auratus (golden hamster)
Lineage: Eukaryota; Metazoa; Chordata; Mammalia; Rodentia; Cricetidae
Exons: 2
Source: RefSeq, a predicted model, not a curated record